UUUUUUUAAUGCCACUAUAGUAAAAAUAAACAAUAGUGUCAGAACUGAACAGUUAUAGGAAACAAGAAUGAUAGGCCAAAAAGUGAAAAAAUGAAAGAAAAAAAAAAAGAACUGAACAAUCAACACCCCCUCCCCCCACUUGAUCUUCCCAUCCCAGCCAAGCCAGUCCUCUUCCCUCCAGGGAAAGAAUACAGGUAUUUCUGGCUCAUCUCCUCUUGGGCCAGACUAUUACCAUCCUAAUGAACACUAUACUCCAAAAGCAAAUAAACUGCAAUCAAAAGUGAGAUUACCAGACAGCAGAUUUCUAAACAGAAUUGGAAGAACAGUGAAUCAAUGCAAAGGUGCAGUGCUAACAGUAAGAAAAAUCCUGCCCAAAUCCCCCAGCAUUGCAGCAAAAUCCCCCUUGACAGUCUGCAGAGCCUGAUCAAUGCCCCUUAUUCAACAGAGUAUAUUCGUGACAAAAUUCCAAUCCAGCAAAGGAACUGUAGUAGUUCUGGAGUUCAUAAUGGGCUCUGAACUAUUGUAAAUGGGAGUGAGGAUAUAAUCUACUCUUACAUAGAAAAAACAACCUGGCCAGGUGCGGUUUGUUAACAUUGCUUCCAUGGAGGCUCUACACUCAGCCUCAUUUCAUUUCAACAAAGGGCAGGACCUGUUCCAAGGCUGGCUUGGGGAGGAGGAGCGGGGCUGAAUGAUGCUGAUUGUAGGGGUGAUUGAGCUGAAAAGCAAGUCUCCUAUCACGAAGCUCAUGGGCUGGGCAUGGUGGCUCACGCCUGUAAUUCUAGCACUUUGGGAGGCCGAGUCAGGCAGAUCGCUUGAGCACAGGAGUUUGAGAACAGCCUGGCCAACAUGGCAAAACCCUUCUCUACUAAAAAUAUGAAAAUUAGUUGGGUGUGGUGGCAGGUGCCUGUAAUCCCAGCUACUUAGGUGGCUGAGGCACAGGAAUCGCUUGAACCCCGGAGGUGGGGGUUGCAGUGAGCCAAGAUGGUGCCACUGGACUCCAGUCUGGGCAAGAGAGCAAGACUCUGUCUCAAAAACAAGACAAAACAAAACACACACACACACACACACACACACACACGCACAAAAGAAAGAAAGAAACUCAGGGGCUAGUGGGAAAGAGAAUCCUGGGAACAAAUAAUUACGAUUUGAUAAUAAGUAGCUCACUGGUUAGUUAAGCAUGCUCUGUGUGAAGUGAUCUACCCCAAUAACCUUGUGAGCUGAGAAUUAUAACCCUGUUACAAACGGGGAAACUAAGGUUCUCAGAUGUUAAGGAGUUUGCCCAAGGUCACACAGUUAAUAAGCAGAAAGGCCAGUAUUGAAACCCAAGCAGGGCUGGGUGUGGUGGCUCACACCUGUAAUCUUGAUGCUUUGGGAGGCCCGAGGCGGGAGAAUCACUUGAGUCAAAGAGUUUGAGACCAGCCUGGGCAAUACAGUGAGACAGCCCCCCCUCCCCCCACCCCGCUCUCUACAAAGCGAAAAAAGAAACCCCAGGC
RNAcentral lists this long non-coding RNA (1493 nucleotides) under Homo sapiens (human). Its description in RNAcentral is "HSALNT0266409". The record is from RNAcentral. Lineage: Eukaryota; Metazoa; Chordata; Mammalia; Primates; Hominidae.